UUGAGAAUGUUGCCUGUCUGAGCCCUGAGAUGAGCUGAGGGUUCCUCCUCCCCAGCCAGCGCCAGCCUCACACAGUCCUUGUAAAUCUGAAAGUGCUGUUGGUAGCAACCACGGAUGGGCAGAGGCAGCCCUGUCCUGAGGGUGACAUGAAAGUGAGAGCAAGCUGAAGCUCCAGUUGGCUUAGUCUCAAAAGUGUCACUUUCAGAUUAUAUCCCUCAGCUUUAAAGUGUCCUUCUUUGAAGUCCAUCUUGCUCCGCCCACUCUUUGUCCCCGGUGGUCCCUUCCUCCUCUGUGUUCCUGUGGCCUGGGAUUCACACCAGGAAAGAACGCCACGAAGAAGGAAUGACAAGAAAAUGGAGGCAAAGAACAUUGGAGUCACUCGCUGGCUACACACGCUGAGGUGAUAACCAAGGUGCUCAAAAAGGGCUCGUGUGCAGCAGUGAGUGCCAGUUUGAAUGAAGGAAGCAUGCGUGGCCUGAAGCCUCACCGUGUUCCAGGCGUCCAGUUAAGUGCUCUGCACAUAAUAUCACACAUUGUGCUCCACGAUAAGGGUCUGGAAAGCAAUUCCCCACAGAAGGAAAGCAGAAUCUUCUGGGCAUUUCUGAUCAAGUGGACUUCCUUCAGCUGAGCACAGUCCUCAGGAGAAGCGGACAGGUGCAAAGUGUUGGAAGCCAACACUCACAGCAGUUGGGGGUUGGAGUGCUCUGGCUUCCAACAGCAUUGAAACCAACAGCAUUGACUACAG
Molecule: long non-coding RNA, 745 nt
Filed under: Pongo abelii (Sumatran orangutan)
Lineage: Eukaryota; Metazoa; Chordata; Mammalia; Primates; Hominidae
Description: lincRNA
Source: RNAcentral